Molecule: ribosomal RNA, 262 nt
Filed under: uncultured bacterium
Lineage: Bacteria
Description: partial small subunit ribosomal RNA
Rfam family: Bacterial small subunit ribosomal RNA
Source: RNAcentral
AGGACGAACGCUGGCGGCGUGCCUAACACAUGCAAGUCACGGGGGCCAGUAGCAAUACUGGCAACCGGCGAACGGGUGCGUAACACGUAAGCGACCUACCUCGAUGUGGGGCAUAGCCGGCCUAACGGCCGGGUAAUUCCGCAUGUGAUCCUUGAGGGGCAUAUCUCGGGGAUGAAACCAGUAAUGGGCAUUGAGAGGGGCUUGCGGCCUAUCAGCUUGUUGGCGGGGUAACGGCUCACCAAGGCGACGACGGGUAGCUGGU